Molecule: ribosomal RNA, 253 nt
Filed under: uncultured bacterium
Lineage: Bacteria
Description: partial 16S ribosomal RNA
Rfam family: Bacterial small subunit ribosomal RNA
Source: RNAcentral
UACGUAGGCAGCAAGCGUUGUUCGGAAUUACUGGGCGUAAAGAGUGUGUAGGCGGUGCUCCAAGUCUGGUGUGAAAUCUCCCGGCUCAACUGGGAGGGUGCAUUAGAAACUGGAAUGCUAGAGGAUGGGAGAGGUAAGCGGAAUUCCUGGUGUAGCGGUGAAAUGCGUAGAUAUCAGGAGGAACACCUGUGGUGUAGACAGCUUACUGGACCAUUUCUGACGCUGAGACACGAAAGCAUGGGUAGCAAACAGG